UAUAAACUAAGAAGACAAGUGCAGAGUGA
This 29-nucleotide non-coding RNA is filed under the name Mus musculus (house mouse). Lineage: Eukaryota; Metazoa; Chordata; Mammalia; Rodentia; Muridae. The record is from RNAcentral.